Long non-coding RNA from Seriola aureovittata, 338 nucleotides. RefSeq lists it as uncharacterized. The record is from RefSeq and is a predicted model, not a curated record. The transcript is spliced from 4 exons. NCBI's taxonomy places the organism in Eukaryota, Metazoa, Chordata, Actinopteri, Carangiformes, Carangidae.
GCUACGUUCACCGUCCUCAUGCGUUGAUUGGGCAGCGUUGGCGCCAGUUUUAGCAAGAUGGCGGUGGUAUAUAAAAAUUCAAUUAAACAAUGCGCGAGCAAAGUAUCAUCUCCUCUUCAUCACGCAGCUCCCCAAACAAAACAAACCCUGACCCACCUGGUACUGGAGGCUCUUGUGGCUCGUCCUCUACUCCUGCUGCCACUACAUCGUCCCCGUCUCCCUGACCAGGCUGACUGGGUGUGAAAUCAUCAUCAUGGAAAUUCCAGCAGUAUUGUAAUGUGAGUGGUACUUACGUCACACCAGCAGUUGAUGCACUUCAUCUCCCCCAUCGGCGGGAC